CCUACGGGAGGCAGCAGUGGGGAAUUUUGGACAAUGGACGCAAGUCUGAUCCAGCCAUGCCGCGUGCGGGAAGAAGGCCUUCGGGUUGUAAACCGCUUUUGUCAGGGAAGAAAUCUUCUGAAUUAAUACUUCGGGAGGAUGACGGUACCUGAAGAAUAAGCACCGGCUAACUACGUGCCAGCAGCCGCGGUAAUACGUAGGGUGCAAGCGUUAAUCGGAAUUACUGGGCGUAAAGCGUGCGCAGGCGGUUAUGCAAGACAGGUGUGAAAUCCCCGAGCUCAACUUGGGAACUGCACUUGUGACUGCAUAGCUAGAGUACGGUAGAGGGGAGUGGAAUUCCGCGUGUAGCAGUGAAAUGCGUAGAUAUGCGGAGGAACACCGAUGGCGAAGGCAGCUCCCUGGACCUGUACUGACGCUCAUGCACGAAAGCGUGGGGAGCAAACAGGAUUAGAUACCCUGGUAGUCCACGCCCUAAACGAUGUCAACUGGUUGUUGGGAGGGUUUCUUCUCAGUAACGUAGCUAACGCGUGAAAGUUGACCGCCUGGGGGUAAGGUACGGCGCGAGUAGUUAAGUUAAAGUAGAGUUAGAGGCGNGAGAGNGCGAGGACGACGACGAGGGAGGAGG
This 625-nucleotide ribosomal RNA is filed under the name uncultured bacterium. RNAcentral's name for it is "bacterial SSU rRNA". The stretch from base 1 to 543 matches the Rfam family "Bacterial small subunit ribosomal RNA", at positions 338 to 873 of the family's 1533-position model. The record is from RNAcentral.